AUCAUUUUUUCCAAAUCGGAACGGAAGUUACAUCCAUUCUCUUCUCCUAAUCAAUGGAAAGCCUGGAAAAUUGAGGAAGGAAUUGGAGCGUUGGGAUUAUUCGGCGUAUUACUAUCAAAAGCACAACUAUUAUGAGUCGAAAAAGAAAGCCGGUUAUAUGUUGCUUGACUCGUUUAUGAGUAGCUGUUCCAAAAUGGAGGAGGCCUUGAACAAAUCUCUUUGGGUAAUGAAACUGACACCUGUGAGAAAUGCUGAGCCUUAUAGCUUUCAGGAUUUGAAAGAUUUGACCGACAAGACUAUUGCCAACUUUUAAUCGACAAGACUAUGUACGGGAGGAUGUUCGUAGGUCAUGAUGAAUGCAAUGUUGCUAUCAAAACAUAGGAUUUCUUUGCUCCACAGCAAUGCUGUUAUCCUGACCAUCAGUCUAGAUUUUGUAACGAGCUUGAAAUACUGCCGGCUGAAAACCAACAUCCAUGUUUGAUGAAGACAAAGGGGUUCUGUUUUCAGUGCAUACUUGCAGUGGUUUAUGACGAAAUACCAACUAAACUUUUGUCACGGAAAAAUUUGAAUGGGAAUUAUGGGAUGGUCGAAUGAAGGUGGCGAUUCAACUUGCAAGUCUCUUCGCCUGGUUUCAUGAGAGGCGAUUUGCAUUUGGUAGUGUCAGGCCUUCUGGCAUAAUGAUUGACAAGAAUUUCAACAUAAAAGUAUUCGACUUUGGUUUCCUUGCUCCUGUCAGGGUUGAGGAUAACGGAGUUACCGUGUAUUAUUCUCGUUGUAGAUGCUCGCGAGGCUAGAGCUAGAUACGGUGUUCGGACUUUAAAAGCUGAUGUUUCCAUAUUUGGUGUUCUACUUGUGGAAUUGCUUGGCAAUAACUACAGAGAUAUAGAGAGGAAAAUGGCACUCACUCCUGGAUUCUGAAGCAGCUCCAAGAAGGAAAAACAUCAAUAGUGGAUAAAUCAAUUCUGCAAGAUAAUGAUGAGCUUGCUAAUGGCAUCACAGAAAUAGCAGUGAAAUGUCUGAGUGAGGAUCCAAAUGAACGCCCACAUAUGGAGGAUGUCUUUGCCAAUUUGUCUAAUUUGGUAGGAGCAACUCCCAAUUAAGGAAGAACAAUGUUAAUUAGUAUUCUGUUGAUAAGAAUUAGUACUUAAUAUGAAUCAUUUAGUCUUCCCUUUUGUACUUUCACCAAUAAGGGUUGCG
Long non-coding RNA from Lycium ferocissimum, 1197 nucleotides. RefSeq lists it as uncharacterized. NCBI's taxonomy places the organism in Eukaryota, Viridiplantae, Streptophyta, Magnoliopsida, Solanales, Solanaceae. The transcript has 5 exons. The record is from RefSeq and is a predicted model, not a curated record.